Molecule: ribosomal RNA, 513 nt
Filed under: Cloeon sp. BYU IGCEP102
Lineage: Eukaryota; Metazoa; Arthropoda; Insecta; Ephemeroptera; Baetidae
Description: SSU rRNA
Rfam family: Eukaryotic small subunit ribosomal RNA
Source: RNAcentral
UAAAUUAAAGUGAAACCGCGAAUGGCUCAUUAAAUCAGUUAUGGUUCCUUGGAUCCUACCAAUCCUACUUGGACARCUGUGGUAAUUCUAGAGCUAAUACAUGCACCCAGAGCCCCGUCCAGAAAUGGUCGGGGCGCAGUUAUUAGAUCAAAACCAAUCGGUCGGGCUCGCCCGUCCGUAGUUUUGGUGACUCGGAAUAACCACGGCUGAUCGCACGGCCUCGCGCCGGCGACGUAUCCUUCGAAUGUCUGCCUUAUCAACUGUCGAUGGUAGGUUCUGCGCCUACCAUGGUUGUAACGGGUAACGGGGAAUCAGGGUUCGAUUCCGGAGAGGGAGCCUGAGAAACGGCUACCACAUCCAAGGAAGGCAGCAGGCGCGCAAAUUACCCACUCCCGGCACGGGGAGGUAGUGACGAAAAAUAACGAUACGGGACUCAUCCGAGGCCCCGUAAUCGGAAUGAGAACACUUUAAAUCUUUAACGAGUACCUAAUGAGGGCAAGUCUGGUGCCAGCA